RNAcentral lists this ribosomal RNA (497 nucleotides) under uncultured bacterium. RNAcentral's name for it is "bacterial SSU rRNA". It matches the Rfam family "Bacterial small subunit ribosomal RNA", at positions 28 to 514 of the family's 1533-position model. The record is from RNAcentral.
GAUGAACGCUAGCGGCAGGCUUAACACAUGCAAGUCGAGGGGCAGCGUGAUGAAGUAGCAAUACGGAUUCGACGGCGACCGGCGCACGGGUGCGUAACGCGUAUGUAACCUACCCUUAACAGGGGGAUAACACUGAGAAAUUGGUACUAAUACCCCAUAACACUUCGGAGGGCAUCCUCUGGAGUUGAAAGUUCCGGCGGUUAAAGAUGGACAUGCGUUGUAUUAGCUAGAUGGUGAGGUAACGGCUCACCAUGGCGACGAUACAUAGGGGGACUGAGAGGUUAACCCCCCACACUGGUACUGAGACACGGACCAGACUCCUACGGGAGGCAGCAGUGAGGAUAUUGGUCAAUGGACGAGAGGCUGAACCAGCCAAGUAGCGUGAAGGAUGAAGGUUCUAUGGAUUGUAAACUUCUUUUAUACGGGAAUAAAACCUCCCACGUGUGGGAGCUUGUAUGUACCGUAUGAAUAAGCAUCGGCUAAUUCCGUGCCAGCAG